This 1017-nucleotide ribosomal RNA is filed under the name uncultured organism. Its description in RNAcentral is "bacterial SSU rRNA". It matches the Rfam family "Bacterial small subunit ribosomal RNA", at positions 355 to 1375 of the family's 1533-position model. The record is from RNAcentral.
UGAGGAAUAUUGGUCAAUGGACGAGAGUCUGAACCAGCCAAGUAGCGUGAAGGAUGACUGCCCUAUGGGUUGUAAACUUCUUUUAUACGGGAAUAAAGUGAGGUACGUGUGCCUUUUUGUAUGUACCGUAUGAAUAAGGAUCGGCUAACUCCGUGCCAGCAGCCGCGGUAAUACGGAGGAUCCGAGCGUUAUCCGGAUUUAUUGGGUUUAAAGGGAGCGUAGGCGGACGCUUAAGUCAGUUGUGAAAGUUUGCGGCUCAACCGUAAAAUUGCAGUUGAUACUGGGUGUCUUGAGUACAGUAGAGGCAGGCGGAAUUCGUGGUGUAGCGGUGAAAUGCUUAGAUAUCACGAAGAACUCCGAUUGCGAAGGCAGCCUGCUGGACUGUAACUGACGCUGAUGCUCGAAAGUGUGGGUAUCAAACAGGAUUAGAUACCCUGGUAGUCCACACAGUAAACGAUGAAUACUCGCUGUUUGCGAUAUACAGUAAGCGGCCAAGCGAAAGCGUUAAGUAUUCCACCUGGGGAGUACGCCGGCAACGGUGAAACUCAAAGGAAUUGACGGGGGCCCGCACAAGCGGAGGAACAUGUGGUUUAAUUCGAUGAUACGCGAGGAACCUUACCCGGGCUUAAAUUGCAACUGACUGAACCGGAAACGGUUCUUUCUUCGGACAGUUGUGAAGGUGCUGCAUGGUUGUCGUCAGCUCGUGCCGUGAGGUGUCGGCUUAAGUGCCAUAACGAGCGCAACCCUUAUCGAUAGUUACUAGCAGGUCAUGCUGAGGACUCUAUUGAGACUGCCGUCGUAAGAUGUGAGGAAGGUGGGGAUGACGUCAAAUCAGCACGGCCCUUACGUCCGGGGCUACACACGUGUUACAAUGGGGGGUACAGAAGGCAGCUACACGGCGACGUGGUGCUAAUCCCGAAAGCCUCUCUCAGUUCGGAUUGGAGUCUGCAACCCGACUCCAUGAAGCUGGAUUCGCUAGUAAUCGCGCAUCAGCCACGGCGCGGUGAAUACGUUCCC